RNAcentral lists this ribosomal RNA (906 nucleotides) under uncultured archaeon. RNAcentral's name for it is "bacterial SSU rRNA". It matches the Rfam family "Archaeal small subunit ribosomal RNA", at positions 21 to 903 of the family's 1478-position model. The record is from RNAcentral.
CCCCACUGCUAUCGGGAUGGGACUAAGACAUGCUAGUCGAGCGUCUCCAAGCUAUGGAAGAGACGCGGCACACAGCUCAGUAACACGUGGCUAACCUGCCCUUGGGACAAGGACAACUCCGGGAAACUGGGGCUAAUCCCUGAUAAGUGAGAACUCCUGGAAUGGAUUCUCGCUCAAAGGACGCUUAGACCAUGCUUCUAGGCGUCGCCCAAGGAUGGGGCCGCGUCCGAUCAGGUUGUUGGUGGGGUAACGGCUCACCAAGCCUAUAACCGGUACGGGCCGUGAGAGCGGGAGCCCGGAGAUGGGCACUGAGACAAGGGCCCAGGCCCUACGGGGCGCAGCAGUCGCGAAAACUCCGCAAUGCGCGAAAGCGUGACGGGGCUACCCCGAGUGCCGUCCGCUGAGGAUGGCUUUUCCCCGGUGUAAUGAGCCGGGGGAAUAAGGAGAGGGCAAGUCUGGUGUCAGCCGCCGCGGUAAUACCAGCUCUCCGAGUGGUAGGGACGAUUAUUGGGCUUAAAGCGUCCGUAGCCGGCUUAGCAAGUCUUCUGUUAAAUUCAGCGACCUAAUCGUUGAGCCGCGGGAGAUACUACUAGGCUAGGAGGCGGGAGAGGCCGACGGUAUUCUCGGGGUAGGGGUGAAAUCCUAUAAUCCCGGGAGGACCACCAGUGGCGAAGGCUGUCGGCUAGAACGCGCUCGACGGUGAGGGACGAAAGCUGGGGGAGCGAACCGGAUUAGAUACCCGGGUAGUCCCAGCUGUAAACGAUGCGGGCUAGGUGUUGGGGUGGCUACGAGCCACUUCAGUGCCGCAGGGAAGCCAUUAAGCCCGCCGCCUGGGGAGUACGGCCGCAAGGCUGAAACUUAAAGGAAUUGGCGGGGGAGCACCACAAGGCGUGAAGCUUGCGGUUC